UUGUUGCAAAGUAUUUUUUAGUAUUUGUACAAUAUAAACAUGCAAAAACCUUAUUUGUACAAUAUAAACAUGCAAAUAGGGCUCAUUUUAUGAUAGUGUUUAGUAUUUGGUUUCAGACAAAAUAUAUUUUAAAUUUCUCUUGAGUAUGGAAUGGGGAAUUAGGGCAUCAAUUCAGGAAUCUUCCCUUUUUGCAGUUGAAUUUAGUCUAUUAUGAUAAAUUAUGUCUUUCUCUAACGUUGUAUUUGGUCUUUAGCUUGAGAAUCUAAGGAGGAUUAUGAGAAUGGAUUCCUUCUAUUUUUCAUCAAAGCCUUUUCCCAACUAAUUGGGUUGGCUAUGCCUUCUAUUUUUAUUAUUUUAUUGGUACUAUUUUAUUGCAACAUGUACAUAAAUACUUUAAUUUGUUUUUUAGUUUGUUGCAAUGUAUUUUUUAGUAUUUGUACAAUAUAAACAUGCAAAAACCUUAUUUGUACAAUAUAAACAUGCAAAUAGGGCUCAUUUUUAUGAUAGUGUUUAGUAUUUGGUUUCAGACAAAAUAUAUUUUAAAUUUCUCUUGAGUAUGGAAUGGGGAAUUAGGGCAUCAAUUCAGGAAUCUUCCCUUUUUGCAGUUGAAUUUAGUCUAUUAUGAUAAAUUAUGUCUUUCUCUAACGUUGUAUUUGGGCAUUUUGAUUUUGAUCAUAGUUGAGCUGGUGUUCUCUCUUCCUCUCUCUCUGUCUGUCUUUCUCUCAGUGAUUAAUCUUUUAAAUUAGGUCUCCAAUUUGUUUUGACUUUUUGGUAUUUUGGUGAACUUUUCCUUCCCCUCUUUCUUUCUGUCUUUGGUUGAUUUCUGGCAAUUACUCUUGUCAAAUGAGUAAAAAAUGCUCAUAGGAAUUUCAAAUUGAAAAAAGAUUGGGACACGUAAUGUUUUCCUUUAUCUGCAAGUUUUCAUUAACUCUCAGAAAAUUUGUAACCAUAUUAGAAGUUUGAAGCUUUCAGGAGAGGAAAUAUUCACCUCUUACCCCCUCUGUUUUUGUUUGUUCUAUGGUCAUCUAGCUUUUGAGUGAAGUAGCCAAUUGCUUUAUCUCUAGUUUCUUUAUCUCUUGCAGUUUGUUAAUCUUUUAACUAAGCUACCAGUUUCUCUCUCUUUCUUUGUUUCUUUUUCUUUUAGGAUAUUUUUUAAUCAUCCGGCUUGUAAUAUUAGUUCAGUUUUAUUAUAGUUCAAUUGCUGGUUUUCUGACUUCACAUAUUUUCACUCAUGCCAGAAGCAUAACCUGAACUUAGCUGGUUUUUUGUCUAUCAGUCUUGUUUAAAUAUACCACUUCUUUUCAUCCAUUGUGAUGGAUUGAUGGUUUAAUUUUCUGGGUUGUAUUUAGUUUGUACAGCUUCAUUUGUAUUGAGUCUUUGUCAAUUAGUUUCUCCGGAAGCUAGAGUCCUUUCACUUAACAUAUCUCUCUGAGAAUAUAGAGAUUGUAUAUAAUAUGAUUCAAAAUGAAAGUGAAAAACAUGCGGCCAAUGAUUCUCUUCAGAAGCCUGAUGAUGGUGUCCAUCAAUACCCGAUGUGGUCUAAGUCUUCUCCAAGAAACAAUAUGGAGAAGAAUGGCUUGGAAAUGGACGGCUCAAACAGGGAAUAUUCCGCUUUCUAUAGGAAUUCAAGUGAAGAAAUGUUUUUGAAGUCAUUGAUGGACAGUUCAAUUGGUGCAGCAGCCCCAAACAUGGAGAAUAUGGGUUUCAGGACCCUAUCUCAGUCAUUCAGGGGAGAUAGCGAAGAACUCUUCAACAGCUGGCUUCAAAGUGCAGAGCAUCAUGGAUAUGGUUCUGCUAGCAUAGCGCACCGCACUCGACAAGCUUCUCGAAGGAUUUCAACAGAGCUUGCUGGUUUGUCUAAUCAACCACAUGGAGGUACCGUGCAAAACACUAGCAACAACGAGCGCUUAUUGCAAACAAAUACUUCCAUUUCUGGUGAUCUUUUCGGUGACGUCAAUCAACGUACAAAUAAGAAUGGAGCAGAUAAAGGGCUACUGGCAAGCAAUUUGUAUCUAGCUAAGGCAUGGCUUGAAAGUUCUCAUCCAAUGACAAGAAGUAGAUCCUCAGAACUGCGGAGGCGAUAUGCUGCUAUGCAAGGUGUCCAGGUGCCAUCAGGUGAAGGGUCCAGCCAAUGGCCACCUUUUGCGUCAUCAUCAAUGGCUACUGUAGAUGCAGUCUCUUCUGUAGUUAGUAUGUUAAAGGGUACCAUAGAACGCAAGAAGAUGAAGAGUAACCAGAUCAUCAAGGAAACGGUUGAACCAAGUUCUUUCGGAUUUUAUGGGGCCCAAGAAGUUACGGGCUCUAUGAAUUCUGAUAAAAAACCAAUAAUCAAGCAAGUUCCUCAGGCAUCAAGAAAUUUCCAAGUGGCAUCCUCUAAUCCAGUGAAUGACACUGAGAUUUUGCAAACAAUUGACGGACCCUUAGGGCUAGAAAUAGAAGAUUUUUCUGGGCCUACGAAUCAGUUCCAAAUGGGCAAUUUGUAUCAUGAGCCAUCACAAAGUGAAUCAUCAGCUGCUGCUCCUGUACUUUCCAAUGGGAUCGAAAUAUGUGAUGGUCCUACCAAUUCAGGGCAAACAGUAUCUGUAUGCGAGAGCUCAAGGAAACAAGCUGGCAAUGGAAGUCCAGCAUGUAGCUCUAAAGCCAGAGACUAUGGAGAGAGAGCAUGUGAAAGUAAUCUAAAUGAUGAUCUCAAGAAAGGAAAUCAUAUUGUUCGAAUGGGGUCCAUGACAUCAGGAGGAUCAGGCCUGCAGUGGACAAGGGGGACCCAACAAAGAAGCGCAGGGUGGAACGUUCUCGCAAGAUGGCAGAGGCAAAGGGAAAAAGUCAAAUUCCCCCAGUUCCAUCAGACAUGCAAGCUAUUUUGAAGCGUUGUGAGAACUUGGAGAAGGAAGUUCGCUCCCUCAAAUUAAACUUGUCGUUUAUGAACAGGAAGGACUCUGAGCAGACCAAACAAAUAGAAGAGCUGCAGAAGGAAAAUGAGGAUUUAAUGGAUGAAAAAGAGCGCCUUCUACAAGAGAUUGAAAGGAUUAUCGCAGAACCAGGAAGGAGCUAAAACUCAAAAAGGAGAUCUUGCGAUCCAUGAUCAAAGUGCCUUUGGUCUGUGAGAUCAGCUUGUUCCUCAAACUUUGGAUAGAAGUAUGAAUUUAUUCUCAUUCAUUCCAGUUCAUACAGAGAGAGAGAAUGUUAUAUAAGUAUCGUAAAAGCUUCUAAGAAAGGAAGAAGUGAUAAAAUGUUUAUAGAGCACUUCAAAAAUACUAAGUCUCGAGGGAUGUAUCCAUUAUAUUGUGAAUGGGAUUCUGAUUGACCUUCAACAUCAUGUGUAUUUACUCUUUUA
RNA transcript from Amborella trichopoda, 3334 nucleotides. It is a transcript of the gene named protein CYCLOPS, with no coding region annotated. Lineage: Eukaryota; Viridiplantae; Streptophyta; Magnoliopsida; Amborellales; Amborellaceae. The record is from RefSeq and is a predicted model, not a curated record.